GAACAGCUCCCGCUGACGUCAUUGCCUGGUUACACGCCACGCCCACUUCUUCCUUGGCGACCUCCUCCGAAGGGGGGCGGUGGCAUAGAUAACAUGUUUAUGUUACGGUACGAUCUGUGUCAGUGCCUUUACAUGUUUAAACGGUUUUAACCAUCUUGUUAAACUAGAAACAUGUGUAUGCAGGUUGUGUAUUCAGUGUGAUAUUGGAUAAUAAGAAGACUUUAGCCCAUGCACCCAGGAGGUUCUAGGCGAAAUUAUUCACUCUGAGUGCGAAGGCGAACUCGUUUAAAGAUGAGGCCAGAUGGUUGAAGCUGAUGAGCAGGAGAUCUGCAGAACAAUACAGUGGCCACAGGUGUGUUCGGCAUCCUGGCAGUAGAAGACAUUGCACAUCCAAAGGAGACAUUUAUUUGGCUAAAGCCAGUCCAGGAACAGGCCAAGGUGCUGCUGCAGCCCCAUCUUUGAGGCCAAGUCAGAUACUGGGAGAGACACACUGACGUUCUUUGUUUUUCAGUGCUCAUCACUGGAUGUUCAUCUUUUCAAAAAACAGUGAUCCAGUAAAAUCAGUGUUGCUGCCAGUCAUUGACCCAGUUCAGGUCUGACUUUCUAUGAAGUUAUUUCCAGAACCAACUCCAUGCUUACAUUGCAUAAUCAUUUGAGCUGACUUGUCUGUACAUGUUGUUCCGUCAAACUUUGAUAUAGUGUUCACUAUGUUUGUUCAGAGUGACCUAUAUAUGAAGCCAUUUUCUCAAGUCACUUGGGAAGUUGCAGGUUAUUUUCAGGUCUAUAUUUCUUAGUAAAAGUCCAAUGUUU
Long non-coding RNA from Betta splendens (Siamese fighting fish), 810 nucleotides. RefSeq lists it as uncharacterized. The record is from RefSeq and is a predicted model, not a curated record. NCBI's taxonomy places the organism in Eukaryota, Metazoa, Chordata, Actinopteri, Anabantiformes, Osphronemidae. The transcript is spliced from 2 exons.